Molecule: ribosomal RNA, 291 nt
Filed under: uncultured bacterium
Lineage: Bacteria
Description: partial 16S ribosomal RNA
Rfam family: Bacterial small subunit ribosomal RNA
Source: RNAcentral
GUCAACCUACGGGAGGCAGCAGUAGGGAAUCUUCCACAAGGGGCGAAAGCCUGAUGGAGCAACGCCGCGUGGGUGAAGAAGGUCUUCGGAUCGUAAAACCCUGUUGUUAGAGAAGAAAGUGCGUGAGAGUAACUGUUCACGUUUCGACGGUAUCUAACCAGAAAGCCACGGCUAACUGCGUGCCAGCAGCCGCGGUAAUACGUAGGUGGCAAGCGUUAUCCGGAUUUAUUGGGCGUAAAGAGAACGCAGGCGGUCUUUUAAGUCUGAUGUGAAAGCCUUCGGCUUAACCGG